This is a non-coding RNA of Paramuricea clavata, 73 nucleotides long. The record is from the annotation of a GenBank genome assembly. Lineage: Eukaryota; Metazoa; Cnidaria; Anthozoa; Malacalcyonacea; Plexauridae.
CCGAUUACUAGCUCAGUUGGUUAGAGCGCUGCACCGGUAUCGCAGGGCCGUAGGUUUAAUUCCUACCAGAGGA